RNAcentral lists this ribosomal RNA (425 nucleotides) under uncultured bacterium. Its description in RNAcentral is "bacterial SSU rRNA". It matches the Rfam family "Bacterial small subunit ribosomal RNA", at positions 354 to 796 of the family's 1533-position model. The record is from RNAcentral.
GUGGGGAAUAUUGGACAAUGGGCGCAAGCCUGAUCCAGCCAUGCCGCGUGAGUGAAGAAGGCCUUCGGGUUGUAAAGCUCUUUCAGAGGUGACGAUGAUGACGGUAACCUCAGAAGAAGCCCCGGCUAACUUCGUGCCAGCAGCCGCGGUAAUACGAAGGGGGCUAGCGUUGUUCGGAAUUACUGGGCGUAAAGCGCGCGUAGGCGGUGUGCAUAGUCAGGGGUGAAAUCCCGGGGCUCAACCUCGGAAUUGCCUUUGAUACUGGCACGCUUGAAUCCGUGAGAGGGUGGUGGAAUGACCAGUGUAGAGGUGAAAUUCGUAGAUAUUGGUCGGAACACCAGUGGCGAAGGCGGCCACCUGGCGCGGUAUUGACGCUGAGGCGCGAAAGCGUGGGGAGCAAACAGGAUUAGAUACCCUUGUAGUCC